Molecule: ribosomal RNA, 248 nt
Filed under: uncultured Lachnospiraceae bacterium
Lineage: Bacteria; Bacillati; Bacillota; Clostridia; Lachnospirales; Lachnospiraceae
Description: partial 16S ribosomal RNA
Rfam family: Bacterial small subunit ribosomal RNA
Source: RNAcentral
UACGUAGGGGGCAAGCGUUAUCCGGAUUUACUGGGUGUAAAGGGAGCGUAGACGGCGAAGAAAGUCUGAAGUGAAAGCCCGCGGCUUAACCGCGGAACUGCUUUGGAAACUUUUUUGCUGGAGUACCGGAGAGGUAAGCGGAAUUCCUAGUGUAGCGGUGAAAUGCGUAGAUAUUAGGAGGAACACCAGUGGCGAAGGCGGCUUACUGGACGGUAACUGACGUUGAGGCUCGAAAGCGUGGGGAGCAA